GACGAACGCUGGCGGCGUGCUUAACACAUGCAAGUCGAACGGAAAGGCCCUGCUUUUGUGGGGUGCUCGAGUGGCGAACGGGUGAGUAACACGUGAGUAACCUGCCCUUGACUUUGGGAUAACUUCAGGAAACUGGGGCUAAUACCGGAUAGGAGCUCCUGCUGCAUGGUGGGGGUUGGAAAGUUUCGGCGAUUGGGGAUGGACUCGCGGCUUAUCAGCUUGUUGGUGGGGUAGUGGCUUACCAAGGCUUUGACGGGUAGCCGGCCUGAGAGGGUGACCGGCCACAUUGGGACUGAGAUACGGCCCAGACUCCUACGGGAGGCAGCAGUGGGGAAUAUUGCACAAUGGGCGGAAGCCUGAUGCAGCAACGCCGCGUGCGGGAUGACGGCCUUCGGGUUGUAAACCGCUUUCGCCUGUGACGAAGCGUGAGUGACGGUAAUGAGUAAAGAAGCACCGGCUAACUACGUG
This 468-nucleotide ribosomal RNA is filed under the name uncultured bacterium. RNAcentral's name for it is "partial 16S ribosomal RNA". It matches the Rfam family "Bacterial small subunit ribosomal RNA", at positions 28 to 507 of the family's 1533-position model. The record is from RNAcentral.